AUUGAACGCUGGCGGCAGGCCUAACACAUGCAAGUCGAGCGGAGCGGCGGACGGAGGAGUAAUGCCUAGGAAUCUGCCUGUUCGUGGGUGAGAGCGACCGGAAAGGAGCGCUAAUGCAGCAUACUAUCAGAUGAGCCUAGGUCGGAUUAGCUAGUGGGUGGGGUAAAGGCCUACCAAGGCGACGAUCCGUAGCUGGUCUGAGAGGAUGAGCAGCCACACUGGAACUGUGACACGGUCCAGACUCCUACGGGAGGCAGCAGUGGGGAAUAUUGGACAAUGGGCGAAAGCCUGAUCCAGCCAUGCCGCGUGGAGGAAGAAGGUCUGCGGAUUGUAAAGCACUUUAAGUUGGGAGGCGUUACCAACAGAAUAAGCACCGGCUAACUUCGUGCCAGCAGCCGCGGUAAUAC
Molecule: ribosomal RNA, 407 nt
Filed under: uncultured bacterium
Lineage: Bacteria
Description: partial 16S ribosomal RNA
Rfam family: Bacterial small subunit ribosomal RNA
Source: RNAcentral